UUCCACGAGAAGCGCUUUGUUUCGCUCCGUUCUUCUUAUUCGAAGAUGAGGAUGCACGGCCGAGAAGACGCGAGAAGAUCCGUGGUCGAUGGUGAACGAGAUGUAGUUUUGUGCGAUGAUGCUUUUCUCGGAGAUUCCAGAGCGAUUUGAAUAUAAAAGAAUCGGUACAGAGGAUGUUGCGGCUAACGAGGAAAAUAAAACAGAGCGAUUUAUCGCUAUCAACGUGUGCAGAAACGAGUAAAGAUGAGAGCAUUAGUGUGCUCAUCUUACGAUUCAUAAAUUUCAAUACAUGUGGGUCCACGUGUACCUGAUCAAAGGCUAUUCAGUUCAGUGGUAUAUCUUAAUAGUUCGUAGGUGCGUACGAAUGAUGAUCGUUAACGAACAUGCGGGCACCGUGGUGGGAAUUCCACUCAAUUUAAGUGUAAUUGUUUAAUUGAGGAUCUGCUCGCCGAAGUGCUCGUCGCAUAAAUUGGUCGUUUACCGUUCCGUUUUCUCGUCGCAUA
Molecule: long non-coding RNA, 503 nt
Organism: Cataglyphis hispanica
Lineage: Eukaryota; Metazoa; Arthropoda; Insecta; Hymenoptera; Formicidae
Exons: 3
Source: RefSeq, a predicted model, not a curated record